RNAcentral lists this ribosomal RNA (468 nucleotides) under uncultured bacterium. Its description in RNAcentral is "partial 16S ribosomal RNA". It matches the Rfam family "Bacterial small subunit ribosomal RNA", at positions 339 to 795 of the family's 1533-position model. The record is from RNAcentral.
CUACGGGGUGCUGCAGUGGGGAAUAUUGGACAAUGGGGGAAACCUUGAUCCAGCAAUGCCGCGUGUGUGAAGAAGGCCUGCGGGUUGUAAAGCACUUUCGGUUGGGAGGACUGCUUCUAGCACUAAUAUUGUUGGAAGUUGACGUUACCUUCAGAAGAAGCACCGGCUAACUCCGUGCCAGCGGAGGCCGCGGUAAUACGGAGGGUGCAAGCGUUAAUCGGAAUUACUGGGCGUAAAGCGCGCGUAGGCGGCUAGAUCAGUCGGGUGUGAAAGCCCCGGGCUUAACCUGGGAACUGCAUCCGAUACUGUCUAGCUUGAGUACAGGAGAGGAGAGUGGAAUUCCACAUGUAGCGGUGAAAUGCGUAGAUAUGUGGAGGAACACCAAUGGCGAAGGCAGCUCUCUGGCCUGAUACUGACGCUGAGGUGCGAAAGCGUGGGGAGCAAACAGGAUUAGAUACCCCCGUAGUC